ACAAGUACCGUGAGGGAAAGUUGCAAAGCACUUUGAAGAGAGAGUUAAAGAGGACGUGAAACCGAUGAGGUGGAAGCGGAUAGAGCCAACGCAUCUGGCUCGCAUUCAGCUGCCGGCCGGCUGCCGCCCCCUCGCCAGACCCGCCUCGGGCUGGCUCUGGGCGGUGGGCAGUUGGCUAGUGGUGCAUUUGCGAGUGGAGUGCGCUGAGGUGUGUGCUGCAGCGGCUCGAACCGCCGCGUAGAGGACUCCCCCUCACGGGGGAGAACCCCACCGGCGGGGAGGGCCGACUGCGGUGCAUUCAGCCACGGCGGGGCGGCCAGCAGGCGGUUGGCCGGAGGCCACCCCGCCCGGUCGGUGCCGGUCACAUGUGACACGGGCCGGUCGGGUGGGGCGGGCGUCGGCCGACCCCACCCCGUGCGCGAGUCUCGGCGUUAGAGUUGGUCAUCUCUCCGACCCGUCUUGAAACACGGACCAAGGAGUUUAGCCCAUGCGCGAGUCAGCGAGUGGAAAACUCACGGGCGCAAUGAAAGUGAAGCCACCCCUCGUGGGGGCGAUAUGCGAUCCGGUGGCCUAUCUGGGCCGCCGGCGCAGCAUAGCCCCGUCCCGAUCGCUUGCGAUGGGGCGGAGGAAGAGCGUAUGGGCUGAGACCCGAAAGAUGGUGAACUAUGCCUGAGCAGGACGAAGCCAGGGGAAACUCUGGUGGAAGUCCGAAGCGGUUCUGACGUGCAAAUCGAUCGUCUGACUUGGGUAUAGGGGCGAAAGACUAAUCGAACCAUCUAGUAGCUGGUUCCUUCCGA
This 797-nucleotide ribosomal RNA is filed under the name Ecphyadophora sp. n. QH-2021. Its description in RNAcentral is "partial large subunit ribosomal RNA". It matches the Rfam family "Eukaryotic large subunit ribosomal RNA", at positions 344 to 964 of the family's 3401-position model. Lineage: Eukaryota; Metazoa; Nematoda; Chromadorea; Rhabditida; Ecphyadophoridae. The record is from RNAcentral.